UGCGUAGGUGGUUCGGCAAGUCUUGUGUGAAAUCUUCAGGCUCAACUUGAAGUCUGCACAAGAAACUGCCGGGCUUGAGUAUGGGAGAGGUGAGUGGAAUUUCCGGUGUAGCGGUGAAAUGCGUAGAUAUCGGAAGGAACACCUGUGGCGAAAGCGGCUCACUGGACCAUUACUGACACUGAGGCACGAAAGCUAGGGGAGCAAACAGGAUUAGAUACCCUGGUAGUCCUAGCCCUAAACGAUGAUCGCUUGGUGUGGCGGGUAUCCAACCCUGCCGUGCCGAAGCUAACGCGUUAAGCGAUCCGCCUGGGGAGUACGGUCGCAAGGCUGAA
RNAcentral lists this ribosomal RNA (332 nucleotides) under uncultured Acidobacteriaceae bacterium. RNAcentral's name for it is "bacterial SSU rRNA". It matches the Rfam family "Bacterial small subunit ribosomal RNA", at positions 568 to 898 of the family's 1533-position model. Lineage: Bacteria; Pseudomonadati; Acidobacteriota; Terriglobia; Terriglobales; Acidobacteriaceae. The record is from RNAcentral.